CGGCGCCCCUCCCGACCAGGUUGGCCUGCACCUUGCGGCUCCGACCGCGGUGGGCGCGCCGGAAGCCGGAGCUGUGAGAGGCCGGCGACGUCGCAGGGGAAGAUACUGUAGAAAGACCUGCAGCCUGCCAGUGUAGCGGGAGGCCGACUCACAGGGCUUGGCCAUCCCAUUUAUGUCAUAACCCGCCACAGCCCAAAGACCCGGAUGCCGUGUCUGAGAAGGUCACUCUGCCUCGCUUCCUACUCCUCAGGAAGGAUGACGGGUUAUGGAAGAUAAUGGUGGAGGUGGCUGUUACCUUGGAGUCAAGAAAACAGGUGGAGAGUAAAGCCGCCACCAAGGAAAGACACUUGGACGGGGAAGUUACUGUCAGAACCGCCUGACAUGACCUUUGGCGUGAAGAAUGGCGUGAGGACGGCAUCCGGAGGAGACUGGGGGCAGUGGGGAGAAGAACGAUGCCUUCUGCAUCAAAGGAAGCGGAUCUCAGAGGUGCCAGCCCUGAGAGGAGAUGAGAGAUCAGCCGGGUUGUCUGGAUCCAGUUUUUACCAAAAUGAUGGGCCAGAGAAAGACGGAACCUUAGACAGUCUGACCUAGUUACAUUUGCAUUUUCCCAGGAAAAAUGACUGUAAAAUUCCUCAGAAACACUUGGAGUCAUUUUCUGGCGCAGAGAGGAAGAAGGCGGGGAGAAACAAUGACCCUGCUUUCAGGGCUGAAGAGAGAAGAAAGCUCAACUGGGGAAUGCAGGGCGAUGCUAGAAGAAAGCCAGGGUCCCACCUGGAUCCUCUGGGAGAAAAGGAUGAAAAAGGGAACCAGCCUGGCAAGGAGACCUGUCCCCACCCAUCUGCAUUUGCAGGAGAACCUGGCCACCAAAGGCACUGCACGUUUCCAGGCAGGAACGACGGGUGGCACUCUACAGUGGAGAAGAAAAAAAUCAUUAGGUUUUUCCAUCAGAUACUGACACGUUCUUUAAGAUCAUGAAGUUUACUUUCCCCCAAAGAAUCUUUUUAAAAUCCCACACUGAUUUGGCAACUUUCUCAUUAUCAUGCCCUGCAGCUCAGCAGCACGUAAGCCCUGGGUGGUUUCCUGAGGGGAAAUCCUGAUCUCCUGGAUUAU
Molecule: long non-coding RNA, 1110 nt
Organism: Enhydra lutris kenyoni (northern sea otter)
Lineage: Eukaryota; Metazoa; Chordata; Mammalia; Carnivora; Mustelidae
Exons: 5
Source: RefSeq, a predicted model, not a curated record